GUCCGUGGCCAUACCACCCUGAAUGCGCCCGAUCUCGUCUGAUCUCGGAAGCUAAGCAGGGUCAGGCCUGGUUAGUACUUGGGUGGGAGAUUAUUUACUUUAUAUAGGAGGCAUUUUCG
This 119-nucleotide ribosomal RNA is filed under the name Octodon degus (degu). The record is from RNAcentral. Lineage: Eukaryota; Metazoa; Chordata; Mammalia; Rodentia; Octodontidae.